RNAcentral lists this transfer RNA (73 nucleotides) under Megalops atlanticus (tarpon). RNAcentral describes it as "tRNA-OTHER". Lineage: Eukaryota; Metazoa; Chordata; Actinopteri; Elopiformes; Megalopidae. The record is from RNAcentral.
AGCAGUCUGGCAUAGUGGUAAGGAGCAGGGCUUGUAACCGAAAGGUUGCUGGUUCGAUUCCCAGCUAGUGCAC